GACGAACCGUGCGAACGUUGUUCGGAUUCACUGGGCUUAAAGGGCGCGUAGGCGGGCCGCCAAGUCAGGGGUGAAAUCCUCCGGCUCAACCGGAGAACAGCCUUUGAUACUGGCGGCCUCGAGGGGGGUAGGGGCAGGCGGAACUUCCGGUGGAGCGGUGAAAUGCGUAGAUAUCGGAAGGAACGCCGGUGGCGAAAGCGGCCUGCUGGACCCCAUCUGACGCUGAUGAGCGAAAGCUAGGGGAGCAAACGGG
RNAcentral lists this ribosomal RNA (253 nucleotides) under uncultured bacterium. Its description in RNAcentral is "partial 16S ribosomal RNA". It matches the Rfam family "Bacterial small subunit ribosomal RNA", at positions 524 to 776 of the family's 1533-position model. The record is from RNAcentral.